GGAGGCAUAGCUCAGAUGGUAGAGCGCUCGCUUAGCAUGCGAGAGGUACCGGGAUUGAUUCCUGACACCUCCA
This 73-nucleotide transfer RNA is filed under the name Atta colombica. It matches the Rfam family "tRNA". From Rfam's summary of the family: Transfer RNA (tRNA) molecules are approximately 80 nucleotides in length. Their secondary structure includes four short double-helical elements and three loops (D, anti-codon, and T loops). Lineage: Eukaryota; Metazoa; Arthropoda; Insecta; Hymenoptera; Formicidae. The record is from Rfam by way of RNAcentral.